RNAcentral lists this long non-coding RNA (564 nucleotides) under Trifolium pratense (red clover). RNAcentral's name for it is "long non-coding RNA (TPRA_LNC009647)". The record is from RNAcentral. Lineage: Eukaryota; Viridiplantae; Streptophyta; Magnoliopsida; Fabales; Fabaceae.
GCAUAUCAAGACUUAAAUCAAAACCAUAGAUCAACAUCAUAUCCUCACUAUCAAUUUAAUAUCAUGAACUAUAGAUCAACAUCAUAUCCUCACUAUCAAUUUAAUAUCAUGGUGUGCUCAAUAUGAAACGUCACAAGUUAAGCCUACUAAGCCUACUUCAAUACCAGAGGAGUUUGUGGGCCAAUGAAACAGGUCAUCGUAACAAACACCACCUAACCAAGUUGUCGAAAAUACUUACCUUGGGAAGGGAAGAGUUACUCCAGAUAUUUGUAUGUUAAACCAUGGAGUAAAACGUUACACAAACUCACAAAAACUUCAGCACUGGAAGAAUAUGAUAACCUCACCAUAAGCUUUCACAAAGGAAUCAAGUGUGGAUGCUGAAACAACUAUAAUGAAAUGUGAAGAAUUCAAAUAUGAGUACAGAUCACCAAAUUAAAGCUUAGAAAAAAUAUGUAACACAGCCAACUGAACAUUAAGACGGUCAUUAAAAGGUUCAGUUUUUGUUUCAAAAAAAAAAAGGUUCAGUGUUUGAAAAAGUAGGAAACUUUUGUGGUAUACCAAACC